Molecule: ribosomal RNA, 253 nt
Filed under: uncultured bacterium
Lineage: Bacteria
Description: partial 16S ribosomal RNA
Rfam family: Bacterial small subunit ribosomal RNA
Source: RNAcentral
UACGAAGGGAGCUAGCGUUGUUCGGAAUCACUGGGCGUAAAGCGCACGUAGGCGGAUGUGUCAGUCAGGGGUGAAAUCCCGGAGCUCAACUUCGGAACUGCCUUUGAUACAGCACAUCUGGAGUCCGGAAGAGGUGGGUGGAAUUCCUAGUGUAGAGGUGAAAUUCGUAGAUAUUAGGAAGAACACCGGUGGCGAAGGCGGCCCACUGGUCCGGUACUGACGCUGAAGUGCGAAAGCGUGGGGAGCAAACAGG